Molecule: ribosomal RNA, 383 nt
Filed under: uncultured cyanobacterium
Lineage: Bacteria; Bacillati; Cyanobacteriota
Description: bacterial SSU rRNA
Rfam family: Bacterial small subunit ribosomal RNA
Source: RNAcentral
CGAAAGCCUGACGGAGCAACGCCGCGUGAGGGACGAAGGCCUCUGGGCUGUAAACCUCUUUUCUCAAGGAAGAAGAUAUGACGGUACUUGAGGAAUAAGCCACGGCUAAUUCCGUGCCAGCAGCCGCGGUAAUACGGGAGUGGCAAGCGUUAUCCGGAAUUAUUGGGCGUAAAGCGUCCGCAGGCGGCUUUUCAAGUCUGCUGUUAAAGCGUGGAGCUUAACUCCAUCAUGGCAGUGGAAACUGAAAGGCUUGAGUAUGGUAGGGGCAGAGGGAAUUCCCGGUGUAGCGGUGAAAUGCGUAGAUAUCGGGAAGAACACCAGUGGCGAAUGUGCUCUGCUGGGCCAUUACUGACGCUCAUGGACGAAAGCCAGGGGAGCGAAAG